This 357-nucleotide ribosomal RNA is filed under the name uncultured Glomeromycotina. RNAcentral's name for it is "SSU rRNA". It matches the Rfam family "Eukaryotic small subunit ribosomal RNA", at positions 569 to 926 of the family's 1831-position model. Lineage: Eukaryota; Fungi; Glomeromycota. The record is from RNAcentral.
AGCAGCCGCGGUAAUUCCAGCUCCAAUAGCGUAUAUUAAAGUUGUUGCAGUUAGAAAGCUCGUAGUUGAAUUUCGGGAUUGACACAUCGGUCGUGCCUUAAGGGGUAUGAACUGGUGUAGUCAAUUUCUCACCUUCUGGAGAACCGCGAUGCCCUUAAUUGGGUGUCGCGGGGAACCAGGACCUUUACUUUGAAAAAUUAGAGUGUUUAAAGCAGGCAUUUUGCUUGAAUACAUUAGCAUGGAAUAAUAAAGUAGGACGGCAUGAUUCUAUUUUGUUGGUUUCUAGGAUCACCGUAAUGAUUAAUAGGGAUAGUUGGGGCAUUAGUAUUCAAUUGUCAGAGGUGAAAUUCUUGGAUU